GGCUCAGGACGAACGCUGGCGGCGUGCUUAACACAUGCAAGUCGAACGAUGAAGACCGGUGCUUGCACUGGUUGGAUUAGUGGCGAACGGGUGAGUAAUACGUGAGUAACCUGCCUUUAACUCUGGGAUAAGCCUUGGAAACGAGGUCUAAUACCGGAUACGACCAGUUCCCGCAUGGGAUGCUGGUGGAAAGGGUUUGUACUGGUUUUAGAUGGGCUCACGGCCUAUCAGCUUGUUGGUGAGGUAACGGCUCACCAAGGCGACGACGGGUAGCCGGCCUGAGAGGGUGACCGGCCACACUGGGACUGAGACACGGCCCAGACUCCUACGGGAGGCAGCAGUGGGGAAUAUUGCACAAUGGGCGCAAGCCUGAUGCAGCGACGCCGCGUGAGGGAUGAAUGCCUUCGGGUUGUAAACCUCUUUCAGCAGGGAAGAAGCGAAAG
This 443-nucleotide ribosomal RNA is filed under the name Rothia nasimurium. Its description in RNAcentral is "bacterial SSU rRNA". It matches the Rfam family "Bacterial small subunit ribosomal RNA", at positions 21 to 456 of the family's 1533-position model. The record is from RNAcentral. Lineage: Bacteria; Bacillati; Actinomycetota; Actinomycetes; Micrococcales; Micrococcaceae.